RNAcentral lists this ribosomal RNA (109 nucleotides) under Pteropus alecto (black flying fox). Lineage: Eukaryota; Metazoa; Chordata; Mammalia; Chiroptera; Pteropodidae. The record is from RNAcentral.
GUCUAUGGCCUUGCCACCCUGAACAUGCCCGAUCUUGGAAGCUAAGCAGGGUCGGGCCUGGUUAGUACUUGGAUGGGAUUCCACCUAGGAAUAUCAGGUGCCGUAGGCC